Molecule: ribosomal RNA, 1228 nt
Filed under: metagenome
Description: bacterial SSU rRNA
Rfam family: Bacterial small subunit ribosomal RNA
Source: RNAcentral
AGAGUUUGAUCCUGGCUCAGAUUGAACGCUGGCGGCAUGCCUUACACAUGCAAGUCGAACGGCAGCACGGGAGCUUGCUCCUGGUGGCGAGUGGCGAACGGGUGAGUAAUAUAUCGGAACGUACCCUAGAGUGGGGGAUAACGUAGCGAAAGUUACGCUAAUACCGCAUACGAUCUACGGAUGAAAGUGGGGGAUCGCAAGACCUCAUGCUCAUGGAGCGGCCGAUAUCUGAUUAGCUAGUUGGUGGGGUAAAAGCUCACCAAGGCGACGAUCAGUAGCUGGUCUGAGAGGACGACCAGCCACACUGGAACUGAGACACGGUCCAGACUCCUACGGGAGGCAGCAGUGGGGAAUUUUGGACAAUGGGCGCAAGCCUGAUCCAGCAAUGCCGCGUGAGUGAAGAAGGCCUUCGGGUUGUAAAGCUCUUUUGUCAGGGAAGAAACGGUUCGGGCUAAUAUCCUGGGCCAAUGACGGUACCUGAAGAAUAAGCACCGGCUAACUACGUGCCAGCAGCCGCGGUAAUACGUAGGGUGCAAGCGUUAAUCGGAAUUACUGGGCGUAAAGCGUGCGCAGGCGGUUGUGCAAGACAGAUGUGAAAUCCCCGGGCUCAACCUGGGAAUUGCAUUUGUGACUGCACGGCUAGAGUGUGUCAGAGGGGGGUAGAAUUCCACGUGUAGCAGUGAAAUGCGUAGAGAUGUGGAGGAAUACCGAUGGCGAAGGCAGCCCCCUGGGAUAACACUGACGCUCAUGCACGAAAGCGUGGGGAGCAAACAGGAUUAGAUACCCUGGUAGUCCACGCCCUAAACGAUGUCUACUAGUUGUCGGGUCUUAAUUGACUUGGUAACGCAGCUAACGCGUGAAGUAGACCGCCUGGGGAGUACGGUCGCAAGAUUAAAAACUCAAAGGAAUUGACGGGGACCCGCACAAGCGGUGGAUGAUGUGGAUUAAUUCGAUGCAACGCGAAAAACCUUACCUACCCUUGACAUGUCUGGAAUCCUUGAGAGAUCAGGGAGUGCUCGAAAGAGAAUCAGAACACAGGUGCUGCAUGGCUGUCGUCAGCUCGUGUCGUGAGAUGUUGGGUUAAGUCCCGCAACGAGCGCAACCCUUGUCAUUAGUUGCUACGAAAGGGCACUCUAAUGAGACUGCCGGUGACAAACCGGAGGAAGGUGGGGAUGACGUCAAGUCCUCAUGGCCCUUAUGGGUAGGGCUUCACACGUCAUACAAUGGU